RNAcentral lists this ribosomal RNA (700 nucleotides) under Pratylenchus zeae. RNAcentral's name for it is "partial large subunit ribosomal RNA". It matches the Rfam family "Eukaryotic large subunit ribosomal RNA", at positions 371 to 906 of the family's 3401-position model. The record is from RNAcentral. Lineage: Eukaryota; Metazoa; Nematoda; Chromadorea; Rhabditida; Pratylenchidae.
ACACUUUUUAGAGAGAGAGUUAAGAGGACGUGGAAACGCUGAGGUGGUGAAAGAUAGAUAGCCACGUCUUUUGCCCGUUUUUUACCCCUCCCCGGGAGCGCUCGUGGAGCUGGCGGCCCCCGAAUUGGGCAAGUGUGGGAGUCUUCCUCCACGCCGAUAGUGGAUUUUCAGGUGGAAUGCGCCCAGAGGCUUCGAGCAACAAUGUGAACCCCGUUUUUAGGCCCCCUUUUUGGUUCCCGGACUUGGGGGGGGGGUGUUUUUUUUUAGGUUAAAAAAGGGCAUGGCUUACGGGCCCGAUUAUGGCCGAGCUGUGAGUCGGCGGCGGUCGCUUGCGACACGUGCUGUGCCAGCAGUUCGGUCCUGGUCGAGCUCCCACAGUGCCCAUUCUCGGUGUAAGAGCUGGUCAUCUCUCCGACCCGUCUUGAAACACGGACCAAGGAGUUUAUCGUGUGCGCGAGUCAUUGGGCGUUGAAAACCCAAAGGCGCAAUGAAAGUGAAGUGCCACGCAAGUGGCUGAUGUGCGAUGUGGUGUUCCAAGGCACACCUCCGCAGCAUGGCCCCAUCCUGGCUGCUUGCAGCGGGGUGGAGGAAGAGCGUGCGCGAUGAGACCCGAAAGAUGGUGAACUAUUCCUGAGCAGGAUGAAGCCAGAGGAAACUCUGGUGGAAGUCCGAAGCGAUUCUGACGUGCAAAUCGAUCGUC